GAUGAACGCUGGCGGCGUGCCUAAUACAUGCAAGUCGAGCGAACGGACGAGAAGCUUGCUUCUCUGAUGUUAGCGGCGGACGGGUGAGUAACACGUGGAUAACCUACCUAUAAGACUGGGAUAACUUCGGGAAGCCGGAGCUAAUACCGGAUAAUAUUUUGAACCGCAUGGUUCAAAAGUGAAAGACGGUCUUGCUGUCACUUAUAGAUGGAUCCGCGCUGCAUUAGCUAGUUGGUAAGGUAACGGCUUACCAAGGCAACGAUGCAUAGCCGACCUGAGAGGGUGAUUCGCCACACUGGAACUGAGACACGGUCCAGACUCCUACGGGAGGCAGCAGUAGGGAAUCUUCCACAAUGGGCGAAAGCCUGACCGAGCAACGCCGCGUGGGUGAAAAAGGUCUUCGGGUCGUAAAACCCUGUUAUUUGGGAAGAACAUAUGUGUAAGUAACUGUGCACAUCUUGACGGUACCUAAUCAGAAAGCCACGGCUAACUACGUG
RNAcentral lists this ribosomal RNA (497 nucleotides) under uncultured bacterium. Its description in RNAcentral is "partial 16S ribosomal RNA". It matches the Rfam family "Bacterial small subunit ribosomal RNA", at positions 28 to 507 of the family's 1533-position model. The record is from RNAcentral.